RNAcentral lists this ribosomal RNA (253 nucleotides) under uncultured bacterium. RNAcentral's name for it is "partial 16S ribosomal RNA". It matches the Rfam family "Bacterial small subunit ribosomal RNA", at positions 524 to 776 of the family's 1533-position model. The record is from RNAcentral.
UACGGAGGGUGCAAGCGUUGCUCGGAAUUAUUGGGCGUAAAGAGCUCGUAGGCGGUUUGUCGCGUCUGCCGUGAAAGUCCGGGGCUCAACUCCGGAUCUGCGGUGGGUACGGGCAGACUAGAGUGAUGUAGGGGAGACUGGAAUUCCUGGUGUAGCGGUGAAAUGCGCAGAUAUCAGGAGGAACACCGAUGGCGAAGGCAGGUCUCUGGGCAUUAACUGACGCUGAGGAGCGAAAGCAUGGGGAGCGAACAGG